UACGGGGGGGGCAAGCGUUGUUCGGAAUUACUGGGCGUAAAGGGCUCGUAGGUGGCCAACUAAGUCAGACGUGAAAUCCCUCGGCUUAACCGGGGAACUGCGUCUGAUACUGGAUGGCUUGAGUUUGGGAGAGGGACGCGGAAUUCCAGGUGUAGCGGUGAAAUGCGUAGAUAUCAGGAGGAACACCGGUGGCGAAGGCGGGUCUCUGGGCCGUAACUGACGCUGAGGAGCGAAAGCAUGGGGAGCGAACAGG
RNAcentral lists this ribosomal RNA (253 nucleotides) under uncultured bacterium. RNAcentral describes it as "partial 16S ribosomal RNA". It matches the Rfam family "Bacterial small subunit ribosomal RNA", at positions 524 to 776 of the family's 1533-position model. The record is from RNAcentral.